Molecule: long non-coding RNA, 2672 nt
Organism: Gasterosteus aculeatus aculeatus (three-spined stickleback)
Lineage: Eukaryota; Metazoa; Chordata; Actinopteri; Perciformes; Gasterosteidae
Source: Ensembl
CCCCCCCCAGCACGCGCACACAAAAGGGUUCAUUCACACCAGAAAGUGAUUACAGAAAAGCAUAAUUAAUGGGGCUCCUUAACGUUAAAUGCACACACACACACACACACACACAGAGAUAUGAGUACAUGCUGCAUGUGAGCAAAGGGCCUGUCGCCGGUUAUCAUUCACGUCUACGUUCCCCGUCUUUGAUUUGAACGAGGGGCGUACAGCCGUAAGCCCGCUCGGAGCCCAGUGACCUGAAACUUUCUAAAUGACAGACAGAGAGCGGCGCUGGAGAACGUAAUGACACAGAGACGUGAGAUAAGCCAGGCCCGUUAAGAAGAAUAUCUGACUGCCAAUCAGCGCCUGUGAUCCUUGUGUUUGCCCAGCGGCUGUUUGCUGAGGGUCCGACCUCUUCGCGAGCAGCGCAGUGCUCCGCGCGCACACAGAUCAGUGACUUCCGUUAUGUGGAAAGACGUUUACCCGGCUGCUCCACCAGAGGAGCUCAAACUCCUUCGCUGAACCAAACCGGAGCUCUGUGGCUUGGUUCAUGUUUGCUUCGUGUAGCACGUUUUGUCUUAAACUCCGAGUGUAUGAUUCAACUCCGCUUCUCGGUCCUCGGGGGUCAGGCUCUGCUUUGACAAAGGUAACGUACUCGACCUGCUCGACGCCCGGAAGCAGACAGAUGUAGCAACUACAUGAUGGAAACAACGGGAAAUAAAACGUUGCGUUAGGGGAGAAAAGGAGAGUAAUUAUUUAACUUAAUCAAGCAUAUGGAAUGUGUCUCACUGUAUGUUCACAAGCCUGUCUUUCUGUCGGCCGUUUGCUGCUAAAUCUUUAGUGCACCGUGGGAUUAAUCACACAAUUUUCUUAUAUUGCAGCUGAAGACAACGUUGAUGAGGGCUAGAAUAAUCCCAGCCAGACUUUACCAGCCCCUGUGAGGGGUUUGACUCGUUGACCUUUCACGUCCCUCGUCAACAUGGCAAGUAAACACUGGUUUCUUCGGUCAAUCAGGACCCAGAGGCUUGCUAAUAGGACUUAUAUGCAAAUAACGGCUGGUAGGCGCUGUAGAGUCUCGGUAGAAUCUUUGUAGAAGUCAAUUUUGAUCCUGUGCCUAAAACACAUCUGCAUAUUUUGGGGGUAAAUAUAUUUGCAUAUGUUCCAGGCACCCUGCCCGAGUUCUGAUGAUGAGGGUUAUGAGGAAGAUGCAGGCUUGCAUGCUUGUUUACGAUCAUGACGCACCUAUUCAUUCUUACACACACAGACACACACACAGGGGUCUCAAAGCCUCGCGCACUGUAUGUGAGCACGAGGACACGUGUGACACAUACAUGCGUCUGUCUGGUUGAGCGUGUGCUUUAGGGACUUUCUGAUCAAAUUUUUCUUCGGAUUAUGUAUAUUCAUGAUCAAUCAGCACGGAGUGCAGUUAAGCGUAGCCCAUCAGAUUCUACCCAAACAUUCCUCAAUUUGCAUAUUUUAAUUGCCACUGCAACAAGUGGGUUUGUGACGCAUCAACUCCCACACACACACACACACACACACACACAGGUUGUAUGACAGAGAGCUGCUUCUCAGUUAAAUUUACACUUUUAGGAGCCAUUGUAUUCCCUCUCUAAUCCGCUCUCUGUAACUCUAUUUUGCUUUGGCUAUUUGUAUAAGUAAUUAUUCUGGCCUCUUCCCCUACAGUCUGCUUGGAAUUCAAUUAAGGUAUCGUCGGGUAGAUGUGUGUGUGUGCGUGUGUGUGUGUGUGUGUGUGUGUGUGCCUGUGGAUAAUAGACAGCGAGAUUGAUUGUGUUUCCAUUGUUUAGGUGUCAACAACACAUGGUGGGUUAUGCGUUUGCAUAUUGUUAAUUCCCCCCCACUGUGCACGCUUCUGCAUCUCUGCAUGUUUCCACCCGAUUUGUGUCUACAUGCUUUUGCGUGUGUGUGUGUGUGUGUGUGCGCGAGCAUGAGUUUGUGAGUCAAGUGUGUCCUGCCAAGUCGAGAGGUCCCUCCACAUUGACUCUCGAUCUGACAGGCCUGCUGACACUCUAGCAUUUAGCCGUGCGCGUGUGUUUGUGUGUGCUUGUGUGUGUUUGUGGGGUGUGAGUGACAAGUUGUGACACACUAGCAUUUGUCUCGUAAAUGCCAGGACAGAGAAGUGACACCAAAGGGCAGGCAGACAGCGAGCGAAAGGCAGCGAGAGACACUGAAAUAUGUGUAACCAUUGAGAAGUUCAGUCGAGGUGAGGAGAGAGAUGAAGGGAAAUUGUUUAGCUGUGAUCUCACAAUUAAUUUGUGGUUUGCCCGUAUUUUUUGAUUAAAAAAAACAGAAAGUAAAAAGAGAGAACCUGCACACUGCAGAUCACCCUCGUCUGCCGAGGUGUCUGUCUGGCUUACAGCACUUUUGCACACAAAUCCUUUUCUCCCGUCUCGGUGCAGACACACUGCAACAAAUCCCAGUCUUAACAAGUCUGUUAUUCGGACCUACGCUAGAGGUCUUACUUUGUCACGCAGGUGAAACAUCAUGGCGGCGCACUGAUUUGUAUAAUGUAAAUGUUUCCGGAUGUUGUUGCCGUCAGCAGCAAAGGAGCUCUCCGAGGUGCUCGUCUGCCCCUGUUUCACCACAUACUACUCAAUAUAAUCAUGGUUAGUGCUGUGCAUCUCUUUGUGCUCGGAUCACCAAAUCCACGGAGACUGCGUACACACCAA